GGGAACUGUGGUGCAGACAAACAAGAGUUAAGCCUAUUAGUCAUUAACUCUAAGGACGGGGCCAUGGGGCGGUACACAAAGGAUACGGAUGAGCGAGUAUGCAGGCCCAAUACUCAAUAGCUCGAUCCGAUCCAAGCACAUGAGUUGACUGCGGCGCCAGGUUAACCGAUGUGCUAAGAGAGUUGUUCCUGGGCCUUCAAAGUGACUUCAAAACUAUCUUAGCGAAUGGUGGCCAUGGGCGUAGACAUGAGCCACAAGUCACAAGGCCUGGGACUAUUGGGUAAUAAAGACAACUUAGUCAGAAAGUUAGUCUUUGGAC
Long non-coding RNA from Anopheles funestus (African malaria mosquito), 319 nucleotides. RefSeq lists it as uncharacterized. The record is from RefSeq and is a predicted model, not a curated record. Lineage: Eukaryota; Metazoa; Arthropoda; Insecta; Diptera; Culicidae. The transcript is spliced from 2 exons.